UAGCUAUGUUAGGGGGAUAUCUGUGUGUGCAGGUGACUAUUACUGUGCAUAAUUAUUAGGCAACUUAACAAAAAACAAAUAUAUACCCAUUUCAAUUAUUUAUUAUUACCAGUGAAACCAAUAUAACAUCUCAACAUUCACAAAUAUACAUUUCUGACAUUCAAAAACAAAACAGUGACCAAUAUAGCCACCUUUCUUUGCAAGGACACUCAAAAGCCUGCCAUCCAUGGAUUCUGUCAGUGUUUUCAUCUGUUCACCAUCAACAUUGCAUGCAGC
Non-coding RNA from Pelobates cultripes (western spadefoot toad), 276 nucleotides. The record is from the annotation of a GenBank genome assembly. Lineage: Eukaryota; Metazoa; Chordata; Amphibia; Anura; Pelobatidae.